GACGAACGCUGGCGGCGUGCUUAACACAUGCAAGUCGAACGAUGAAGCCCAGCUUGCUGUGUGGAUUAGUGGCGAACGGGUGAGUAACACGUGAGUAACCUGCCCCUGACUCUGGGAUAAGCGUUGGAAACGACGUCUAAUACUGGAUAUGACUACUGGUCGCAUGGCGUGGUGGAGGAAAGAUUUUUUGGUUGGGGAUGGACGCGCGGCCUAUCAGCUUGUUGGUGAGGUAAUGGCUGAGCAAGGCGACGACGGGUCGCCGGCCUGAGAGGGUGACCGGCCACACUGCGACUGAGAAACGGCCCAGACUCCUACGGGAGGCAGCAGUGGGGAAUAUUGCACAAUGGGCGAAAGCCUGAUGCAGCAACGCCGCGUGAGGGAUGACGGCUUUCGGGUUGUAAACCUCUUUUAGUAGCGAAGAAGCGUAAGUGACGGUACCUGCAGAAAAAGCACCGGCUAACUACGUGCCAGCAGCCGCGGUAA
Molecule: ribosomal RNA, 483 nt
Filed under: uncultured bacterium
Lineage: Bacteria
Description: partial 16S ribosomal RNA
Rfam family: Bacterial small subunit ribosomal RNA
Source: RNAcentral